This 210-nucleotide unclassified non-coding RNA is filed under the name Melitaea cinxia (Glanville fritillary). Its description in RNAcentral is "misc RNA ENSMCXG00005011951.1". Lineage: Eukaryota; Metazoa; Arthropoda; Insecta; Lepidoptera; Nymphalidae. The record is from RNAcentral.
GGUCACUUAUGAUACUGACAAUGAAAUUCAACAUCUGAAGUCUAGUAUAGAAGAUGCCGAGCUAACUUCUGCAACUCGAAGUCGUUACGUUGAGGGUUGGCAAAGAGCUCGAAUAGAGCAACACACUCAGACGAUUUCACACAAGGAGAUCGGACCGACACAGAUGAUUGAAGAACUUAAGAGGAAAGCCGACCAAGAACAACGCGUUCA